This 496-nucleotide ribosomal RNA is filed under the name uncultured bacterium. Its description in RNAcentral is "bacterial SSU rRNA". It matches the Rfam family "Bacterial small subunit ribosomal RNA", at positions 28 to 519 of the family's 1533-position model. The record is from RNAcentral.
GAUGAACGCUAGCGGCAGGCUUAAUACAUGCAAGUCGUGGGGCAGCGCAGGUAGCAAUACUGGGCGGCGACCGGCAAACGGGUGCGGAACACGUACACAACCUUCCGAGAAGUGGGGAAUAGCCCAGAGAAAUUUGGAUUAAUACCCCGUAACAUAACGAUGUGGCAUCACAUUGUUAUUAUAGCUUCGGCGCUUCUUGAUGGGUGUGCGGCUGAUUAGAUAGUUGGCGGGGUAACGGCCCACCAAGUCUACGAUCAGUAGCUGAUGUGAGAGCAUGAUCAGCCACACGGGCACUGAGACACGGGCCCGACUCCUACGGGAGGCAGCAGUAAGGAAUAUUGGUCAAUGGACGCAAGUCUGAACCAGCCAUGCCGCGUGAAGGAUUAAGGUCCUCUGGAUUGUAAACUUCUUUUAUCUGGGACGAAAAAGGCGAUUCUUCGUCACUUGACGGUACCAGAUGAAUAAGCACCGGCUAACUCCGUGCCAGCAGCCGACG